Heterocephalus glaber (naked mole-rat) is the source of this 95-nucleotide Y RNA. It matches the Rfam family "Y RNA". From Rfam's summary of the family: Y RNAs are components of the Ro ribonucleoprotein particle (Ro RNP), in association with Ro60 and La proteins. Lineage: Eukaryota; Metazoa; Chordata; Mammalia; Rodentia; Bathyergidae. The record is from Ensembl.
GGCUGGUCCGAUGGUAGUGGGUUAUCAGAACUUAUUAACAUUAGUGUCACUAAAGUUGGUAACAAUCCCCCACUGCUAAAUUUGACUGGCUUAAA